Molecule: ribosomal RNA, 279 nt
Filed under: uncultured bacterium
Lineage: Bacteria
Description: partial 16S ribosomal RNA
Rfam family: Bacterial small subunit ribosomal RNA
Source: RNAcentral
UGCCAGCCGCCGCGGUAAUACGAAGGGGGCUAGCGUUGCUCGGAAUUACUGGGCGUAUAGCGCGCGCAGGUGGCCUGUUAAGUUGGGGGUGAAAGCCCGGAGCUCAACUCCGGAACGGCCUUCAAAACUGGCAAGCUAGAGUCCGGAAGAGGAGAGUGGAAUUCCCAGUGUAGAGGUGAAAUUCGUAGAUAUCAGGAGGAACACCGAUGGCGAAGGCAUCUCUCUGGGCCGAUAUUGACGCUGAGGCGCGAAGGCGUGGGUAGCGAACGGGAUUAGAUA